CCUACGGGAGGCAGCAGUGAGGAAUAUUGGUCAAUGGGCGAGAGCCUGAACCAGCCAAGUAGCGUGAAGGAUGAAGGAUCUAUGGUUUGUAAACUUCUUUUAUAUGGGAAUAAAGUGAGGCACGUGUUCCUUUUUGUAUGUACCAUAUGAAUAAGGAUCGGCUAACUCCGUGCCAGCAGCCGCGGUAAUACGGAGGAUGCGAGCGUUAUCCGGAUUUAUUGGGUUUAAAGGGAGCGUAGGUGGUUAAUUAAGUCAGCGGUGAAAGUUUGUGGCUCAACCAUAAAAUUGCAGUUGAAACUGGGUGUCUUGAGUACAUUUGAGGUAGGCGGAAUUCGUGGUGUAGCGGUGAAAUGCAUAGAUAUCACGCAGAACUCCGAUUGCGAAGGCAGCUUACUAAACUAUAACUGACACUGAAGCACGAAAGUGUGGGUAUCAAACAGGAUUAGAUACCCGAGUAGUC
This 460-nucleotide ribosomal RNA is filed under the name uncultured bacterium. RNAcentral's name for it is "partial 16S ribosomal RNA". It matches the Rfam family "Bacterial small subunit ribosomal RNA", at positions 338 to 795 of the family's 1533-position model. The record is from RNAcentral.